GACGAACGCUGGCGGCGUGCUUAACACAUGCAAGUCGAACGGAAAGGCCCUGCUUUUGUGGGGUGCUCGAGUGGCGAACGGGUGAGUAACCCGUGAGUAACCUGCCCUUGACUUUGGGAUAACUUCAGGAAACUGGGGCUAAUACCGGAUAGGAGCUCCUGCUGCAUGGUGGGGGUUGGAAAGUUUCGGCGGUUGGGGCUGGACUCGCGGCUUAUCAGCUUGUUGGUGGGGUAGUGGCUUACCAAGGCUUUGACGGGUAGCCGGCCUGAGAGGGUGACCGGCGACAUUGGGACUGAGAGACGGCCCAGACUGCUACGGUAGGCAGCAGUGGGGAAUAUUGCAGAAUGGGCGGAAGCCAGAUGCAGCAACGCCGCGUGCGGGAUAACGUCCUUCGGGUUGUGAACCGCUGUCGCCUGUGAUGAAGCGUGAGUGACGGUAAUGGGUAAAGAAGCACCGGCUAACUACGUG
This 468-nucleotide ribosomal RNA is filed under the name uncultured bacterium. RNAcentral describes it as "partial 16S ribosomal RNA". It matches the Rfam family "Bacterial small subunit ribosomal RNA", at positions 28 to 507 of the family's 1533-position model. The record is from RNAcentral.